GCUCAGGAUAUGUCAUAACGGGGUACCUAUAGGGUUUACGGGUGACUAAAUAGUGAGCAAUCUGCCCCUGCUACAGGGGUAAGGGCUGGAAACGGCGUCUAAUACCGGAUACGAGCUGCGACCGCAUGGUCAGUAACUGGAAAGAAUUUCGGUCAGGGAUGAGCUCGCGGCCUAUCAGCUUGUUGGUGAGGUAAUGGCUCACCAAGGCGUCGACGGGUAGCCGGCCUGAGAGGGUGACCGGCCACACUGGGACUGAGACACGGCCCAGACUCCUACGGGAGGCAGCAGUGGGGAAUAUUGCACAAUGGGCGCAAGCCUGAUGCAGCAACGCCGCGUGAGGGAUGACGGCCUUCCGGUUGUAAACCUCUUUUAACAUGGAAGAAACGAAAGUGACGGUACCUGCAGAAAAAGCGCCGGCUAACUACGUGGCGGCAACCGCGGUAAUACGUAUGGCCCAAGCGUUAUCCGGAAUUAAUGGGGUUUUAAGAGGUUCCAAGGAGUCUGGCCCGGCCUCCCGCAAAAACCGGGGCUCCACCUCUGGUCUGGGAUGGGUAACCGCCGAACUAAAUUGCCGAAGGGGAAAUUAAUGAAUUCUGGUGUAGCGGUGGAAUGGCAGAUAUCAGGACGGAACACUGAUGCGCGAAGGCAGAUGUGUGGGCCGUAACUGACGAUGGAGGAGAGAAAGGGUGGGGAUGCAAACAGGCUUAGAUACCUUGGUAGUCCACCCCGUAAACGUUGGGAACUAGUUGUGGGGUCAACAUUCCACGGAUUCCGUGACCGCAGCUAACGCAUUAAGUUCCCCGCCUGGGGAGUACGGCCGCAAGGCUAAAACUCAAAGGACAUUGACGGGGACCCGCACAAGCGGCGGAGCAUGCGGAUUAAUUCGAUGCAACGCGAAGAACCUUACCAAGGCUUGACAUAUAGAGGAAACGUCUGGAAACAGUCGCCCCGCAAGGUCUCUAUACAGGUGGUGCAUGGUUGUCGUCAGCUCGUGUCGUGAGAUGUUGGGUUAAGUCCCGCAACGAGCGCAACCCUCGUUCUAUGUUGCCAGCACGUAAUGGUGGGAACUCAUGGGAUACUGCCGGGGUCAACUCGGAGGAAGGUGGGGAUGACGUCAAAUCAUCAUGCCCCUUAUGUCUUGGGCUUCACGCAUGCUACAAUGGCCGGUACAAAGGGCUGCAAUACCGUGAGGUGGAGCGAAUCCCAAAAAGCCGGUCCCAGUUCGGAUUGAGGUCUGCAACUCGACCUCAUGAAGUCGUAUUUGGUAGUAAUCGCAGAUCAUAUAUGUUGCCACGAAAACGGUGGAUAGUGUUCCACGCUCUCGGUAUAUGUUGACACAGUGGCGCGUUUGUGCCCCGCGC
Molecule: ribosomal RNA, 1361 nt
Filed under: Cellulosimicrobium sp. R18
Lineage: Bacteria; Bacillati; Actinomycetota; Actinomycetes; Micrococcales; Promicromonosporaceae
Description: partial 16S ribosomal RNA
Rfam family: Bacterial small subunit ribosomal RNA
Source: RNAcentral